CCGGCAUAGGUAGAGGAUGGACUAAUGGCGCAUUAGCUAGUUGGAGGGGUAACGGCCCACCAAGGCGACGAUGCGUAGCCGACCUGAGAGGGUGACCGGCCACACUGGGACUGAGACACGGCCCAGACUCCUACGGGAGGCAGCAGUAGGGAAUUUUCGGCAAUGGGGGAAACCCUGACCGAGCAACGCCGCGUGAAGGAAGAAGUAAUUCGUUAUGUAAACUUCUGUCAUAGAGGAAGAACGGUGCGUGUAGGGAAUGACAUGCAAGUGACGGUACUCUAUAAGAAAGCCACGGCUAACUACGUGCCAGCAGCCGCGGUAAUACGUAGGUGGCAAGCGUUAUCCGGAAUUAUUGGGCGUAAAGAGGGAGCAGGCGGCACUAAGGGUCUGUGGUGAAAGAUCGAAGCUUAACUUCGGUAAGCCAUGGAAACCGUAGAGCUAGAGUGUGUGAGAGGAUCGUGGAAUUCCAUGUGUAGCGGUGAAAUGCGUAGAUAUAUGGAGGAACACCAGUGGCGAAGGCGACAAUCUGGCGCAUAACUGACGCUCAGUCCCGAAAGCGUGGGGAGCAAAUAGGAUUAGAUACCCUAGUAGUCCACGCCGUAAACGAUGAGUACUAAGUGUUGGGAGUCAAAUCUCAGUGCUGCAGUUAACGCAAUAAGUACUCCGCCUGAGUAGUACGUUCGCAAGAAUGAAACUCAAAGGAAUUGACGGGGGCCCGCACAAGCGGUGGAGCAUGUGGUUUAAUUUGAAGCAACGCGAAGAACCUUACCAGGUCUUGACAUCGAUCUAAAGGCUCCAGAGAUGGAGAGAUAGCUAUAGAGAAGACAGGUGGUGCAUGGUUGUCGUCAGCUCGUGUCGUGAGAUGUUGGGUUAAGUCCCGCAACGAGUGCAACCCCUGUUGCCAGUUGCCAGCAUUAAGUUGGGGACUCUGGCGAGACUGCCGGUGACAAGCCGGAGGAAGGCGGGGAGGACGUCAAAUCAUCAUGCCCCUUAUGACCUGGGCUACACACGUGCUACAAUGGACAGAGCAGAGGGAAGCGAAGCCGCGAGGUGGAGCGAAACCCAGAAAACUGUUCUCAGUUCGGACUGCAGUCUGCAACUCGACUGCACGAAGUUGGAAUCGCUAGUAAUCGCGAAUCAGCAUGUCGCGGCGAAUAAAAGGUCGGGCCUCGUACU
Molecule: ribosomal RNA, 1176 nt
Filed under: uncultured bacterium
Lineage: Bacteria
Description: bacterial SSU rRNA
Rfam family: Bacterial small subunit ribosomal RNA
Source: RNAcentral